UACAACCUACCUACUCAAGCACAACUGCUAGCUUUCUCAUUUCAGCUACUAAAGAAUAACCUAACAGCAGCAGUUGAUGAAAGAAGCACGCGCAAUUAUGCUUGAAAAAUUAGCAUUUAGCUGAACUGAAGAGAGAAGAUUUUGAUGAACAGUGACCAUGAGUCUUAAGAAGUUGUUAGAUGACCAGAGAAAAGUUAGAUGUGGAAAGUUGAAAAGAAGACAUCAUGAAGUUACUGUUACAGGAUGAGAAUGAACAGCAUGAGAACAACGUGGAGUCCAAAUACCAUCAAUUUCCUGUAAAGAGGACUGCAAAUACUUUGAAACACUGAGCAAUUCCUGCUAAAGGAAAAACCUUGAACAUCAACUGGACAUUAUUUUCUUCCAGGAAUUUCUACCUGUGUCUUUAAAAAUUUGCAACUUGACCUAUGACAUUUCUUUGAGGUUGAAGUUGCCCUGUUACCACUGCAAUACUGAAAGGAAACUCCUGAGAAGAACUGAUUUUAGGUAAUAUGUAAUACAUUUAUCUUGCACCUACAUUUUGAUAAUAUACUGCUUAUUGAGAUGAAGAUUCUGGAAUAUAUCUAGAAGGAUCCUGUUCUCCAAGAGCACAUGUAUAAAACAGUCUGCAGAGAGAUAAUUUUGCUGUCCUGAAGAAUCUAACUAUGGGUAGAAGCCUAUGAGAAUAAACAAAUAAAUAAAAAUAAUAAAAUCUUGUAA
RNAcentral lists this long non-coding RNA (717 nucleotides) under Phasianus colchicus (ring-necked pheasant). RNAcentral's name for it is "lncRNA (ENSPCLG00000018507.1)". The record is from RNAcentral. Lineage: Eukaryota; Metazoa; Chordata; Aves; Galliformes; Phasianidae.